AUUAUAAACCAUCUGUCCAAAGUGGCCUUUAAACCUAUCUAUCACUCUCUCCUCCUUCGGCAGGGCAAAUAAACACGUUCGGGGCCGAGGGAUGAAAAGCGACUCAUCUCGGCACAUCCAGCUUGUCUCCAUCUGCCAACGGGCCAGGAAAGGUUUUGGUUGCCCACCUGUGGAGGUGAUGUUGCGAGGUGGUGAGGAUCACAUCGUGACCCAGGAUAGUCAAACAGGCGCUAAGGUCUGCCCACUGGACCAGCUCUCCAAGAGGACCCCCUGUGUCCACCGUGGCUUGGAAAUGUUGGCCUGCAGGCCCAGCGAGAGCACCGGGGUAAAGCAGAACCUACAGGUCAAUAGAAACACGAAAAGUUCAAACCUGUUGUGGCUCCGCCCCCCCAGUCUCUACCAGUGACAACAAGCAUGUUCAAACCCUCAUGAGGGAUGCAUGUGUCUUGUUCUGCUGCAUCAUCUUGAGGGCAGCCUGUCUCCAGCAUUCCGACAUCAUUUCCACUCUGGAGCGCAUGAAUCCAAGUGCCGGGCCGCUGCUGUUAUUGAUGACUUCAUAGAGUGAACUCAUAGUCGUCCUUAUCAUUGCCUGCGUGAAAAGCAGCAAACUGGUGUAGGGAUGUCAAGCAAGUGGAGUCCUCAUUGAAAUUCUGAUACCUUCUUUGUGUAGGGCUGAGCUUUCUGAUGCCAAGGAGGUGAAAAGUGGUUUCGUCCAGGUUGAGGCGGGCAGAAGUUUUCUAUUUGACUGAGAAGCAUGUGGAGAGCCUCUGAGGUCAUGGUAGCAUCACGCUCUCUGCUCAGCCGCUGCACCUGAGUACCAAGAGCUUCCAAGCGAAGGGCCAGCCUACGAAAACGAGGACCUCGCUGACCCUGGUCGUC
Long non-coding RNA from Syngnathus acus (greater pipefish), 879 nucleotides. RefSeq lists it as uncharacterized. The record is from RefSeq and is a predicted model, not a curated record. The transcript is spliced from 3 exons. NCBI's taxonomy places the organism in Eukaryota, Metazoa, Chordata, Actinopteri, Syngnathiformes, Syngnathidae.